RNAcentral lists this ribosomal RNA (597 nucleotides) under Triticum aestivum (bread wheat). Its description in RNAcentral is "partial small subunit ribosomal RNA". Lineage: Eukaryota; Viridiplantae; Streptophyta; Magnoliopsida; Poales; Poaceae. The record is from RNAcentral.
AUGUCGCGGCAGGGCGUGGACGAGGAGGAGGAGGACCAGAAGCCGGUGAUCAAGCCCGGCGUGCACGUGACACUCAAGGUGCGGAACACCGACGGCCACACCGUCUACCGCACCAUGCGGCGGACGGAGCAGCUGCAGAGCCUCAUGGACUUCUACUACGCCAGCGUGCCGGCGGUCCAGCGCGGCACGGGGCGGUUCCUGUACGACGGCGGCCGGCUGCGCGGCUGGCAGACGCCGGCGGAGCUCCAGAUGGAGGACGGCGACGAGGUGGACUUCUUCACCGAGCUGCUGGGAGGCGGCGGGACAAGCGCGCUCCCGAAAGCUGAGCGGGGCAUGGCGGCGGAUCUCCGUUUCGUCACGCUCAAGGUGGUCGAUCAGGAGCAGCGCCUGGUCCGCCGCACCAUCAGGAUGACCGCCCAGCUCCAGAUUGUCAUGGAUGCGUACUACGACGAGGCGGGGGACGUCGUCAGAGGCACCGGCUCCUUCUGGUUCGAAAACGUUCGGCUGCGCGGCGAGCGCACGCCGGCGUAUUUCAAGCUGCAAGACGGGGACGCCAUCGACUUUGAAACGCAGCUUGGCGGCGGGAUCCCGUUCUAG